CAGCUUGGAUUCUCCAAACUCCUCAUCGAUUCUUUAAGCCACCUUAAAUCCUUCAAUUAAUAUUGAUUCUGCUUAAUCAGUCAUGGCAGCCAAGAAGGAAUCCAAGUCAAUCCAGUGGCCAAGAUGGAGAACAUUACCACAUUCUGUCAUAAACACAUGUGUUAAAACUCCUCUCUUGAAAGUUAGAAUUGAUAUAACACAGAAUGCUCUGCUCUCCACAUCAGCCACAAGGACAGAUCCUGACUUCAAAAGGAAGCAGCAAAAGGAGGUAUAACCUCAACAGUGACCGUCUUGCCAAAUCUAGUCAACAAAACUAAAAUCACUUGAAGUUCAGUUCAAAAUAAAUAUGUUUUCAAUCAAA
Molecule: long non-coding RNA, 361 nt
Organism: Homo sapiens (human)
Lineage: Eukaryota; Metazoa; Chordata; Mammalia; Primates; Hominidae
Exons: 2
Source: RefSeq, a predicted model, not a curated record